ACGAACGCUGGCGGCGUGCUUAACACAUGCAAGUCGAACGGAAAGGCCUCUUUCGGGGGGUACUCGAGUGGCGAACGGGUGAGUAACACGUGAGUAACCUGCCCUUGACUUUGGGAUAACUUCAGGAAACUGGGGCUAAUACCGGAUAGGAGCUCCUGCUGCAUGGUGGGGGUUGGAAAGUUUCGGCGGUUGGGGAUGGACUCGCGGCUUAUCAGCUUGUUGGUGGGGUAGUGGCUUACCAAGGCUUUGACGGGUAGCCGGCCUGAGAGGGUGACCGGCCACAUUGGGACUGAGAGACGGCCCAGACUCCUACGGGAGGCAGCAGUGGGGAAUAUUGCACAAUGGGUGGAAGCCUGAUGCAGCAACGCCGUGUGCGGGAUGACGGCCUUCGGGUUGUAAACCGCUUUCGCUCAUGACGAAGCUUUGUGUGACGGUAGUGGGUAAAGAAGCACCGGCUAACUACGUG
Molecule: ribosomal RNA, 466 nt
Filed under: uncultured bacterium
Lineage: Bacteria
Description: partial 16S ribosomal RNA
Rfam family: Bacterial small subunit ribosomal RNA
Source: RNAcentral